CUUCAAACUAACCCUAGCCGCUAUCUUUUCCCUUUUUCGCUGAGAAAUCAUCGAUCAAAAUCCCUUCUGAAGUUGCUGCCGUAGUUCCGAAACGUUCCAGUCGAAGAAGACUCACGUAUCUACAAAUCCCAAUUUUUGUUUCGUCAAACGCCGUUCGGAGGUCGAAAUCAAUUCCGUUUAUUUCCCGUGAAAGUAGACUCACACAUCUACGUUUCUACAC
Mercurialis annua (annual mercury) is the source of this 220-nucleotide long non-coding RNA. RefSeq lists it as uncharacterized. The record is from RefSeq and is a predicted model, not a curated record. Lineage: Eukaryota; Viridiplantae; Streptophyta; Magnoliopsida; Malpighiales; Euphorbiaceae. The transcript is spliced from 3 exons.